This 410-nucleotide ribosomal RNA is filed under the name Althepus sp. 51 FL-2018. RNAcentral describes it as "partial 16S ribosomal RNA". It matches the Rfam family "Bacterial large subunit ribosomal RNA", at positions 1858 to 2601 of the family's 2925-position model. The record is from RNAcentral. Lineage: Eukaryota; Metazoa; Arthropoda; Arachnida; Araneae; Ochyroceratidae.
CCUGCUCAAUGAAACUUAAAUAGCCGCUUUCUAGUGCUAAGGUAGCAUAAUCACUUGUCUUUUAAUUUAAGAAUGGAAUGAAAGGAUAAACGAGUUAAAACCUUUAUUUAAUUUAUUUUAUUAAAUUUAUAUAAAAGUAAAAAAGCUUUUUAAAAAAGAUUAGACGACAAGACCCUUUAGAACUUUACUUCAAGUUCAGCUGGGGUGGCUUAAAAUUUUUAUUAAAACUUAUUACAAAACUACAAACACCCUUCCAUACAAGAUUUCAAUAAGUUACCUAAGGGAUAACAGUAUAAUAUUAUUUUAAAGCACAUAUAACAAAUAAUUAUUACAACCUCGAUGUUGAAUUACCCUUCUAUUAAAAGAAAAUUUUUUAAAAGUAAGUCUGUUCGACUUUUAAUAAGGUACAU